AGUGAACGCUGGCGGUAGGCCUAACACAUGCAAGUCGAACGGCAGCACAGUAAGAGCUUGCUCUUACGGGUGGCGAGUGGCGGACGGGUGAGGAAUACAUCGGAAUCUACUUUUUCGUGGGGGAUAACGUAGGGAAACUUACGCUAAUACCGCAUACGACCUACGGGUGAAAGCAGGGGAUCUUCGGACCUUGCGCGAUUGAAUGAGCCGAUGUCGGGUUAGCUAGUUGGCGGGGUAAAGGCCCACCAAGGCGACGAUCCGUAGCUGGUCUGAGAGGAUGAUCAGCCACACUGGAACUGAGACACGGUCCAGACUCCUACGGGAGGUAGCAGUGGGGAAUAUUGGACAAUGGGCGCAAGCCUGAUCCAGCCAUACCGCGUGGGUGAAGAAGGCCUUCGGGUUGUAAAGCCCUUUUGUUGGGAAAGAAAAGCAGCAGGUUAAUACCCCGCUGUUCUGACGGUACCCAAAGAAUAAGCACCGGCUAACUUCGUG
RNAcentral lists this ribosomal RNA (492 nucleotides) under uncultured bacterium. RNAcentral's name for it is "partial 16S ribosomal RNA". It matches the Rfam family "Bacterial small subunit ribosomal RNA", at positions 29 to 507 of the family's 1533-position model. The record is from RNAcentral.